GAUGAAGAACGUAGCGAAAUGCGAUACGUAAUGUGAAUUGCAGAAUUCAGUGAAUCAUCGAGUCUUUGAACGCACAUUGCGCCCCCUGGUAUUCCGGGGGGCAUGCCUGUCCGAGCGUCAUUGCUGCCCUCAAGCACGGCUUGUGUGUUGGGCCCCGCCCCCCGGCUCCCGGGGGGCGGGCCCGAAAGGCAGCGGCGGCACCGCGUCCGGUCCUCGAGCGUAUGGGGCUUCGUCGCCCGCUCCGUAGGCCCGGCCGGCGCCCGCCGGCGACCCCCCUCAAUCUUUUCAGGUUGACCUCGGAUCAGGUAGGGAUACCCGCUGAACUUAAGCAUAUCAAUAAGCGGAGGA
This 348-nucleotide unclassified non-coding RNA is filed under the name soil metagenome. Its description in RNAcentral is "partial contains 5.8S ribosomal RNA, internal transcribed spacer 2, and large subunit ribosomal RNA". The stretch from base 1 to 120 matches the Rfam family "5.8S ribosomal RNA", at positions 35 to 154 of the family's 154-position model. The record is from RNAcentral.